Molecule: long non-coding RNA, 242 nt
Filed under: Glycine max (soybean)
Lineage: Eukaryota; Viridiplantae; Streptophyta; Magnoliopsida; Fabales; Fabaceae
Description: long non-coding RNA (GMAX_LNC000135)
Source: RNAcentral
UGGCACGCGGAGACUUACGUCCUCUACCGCGCCUUUGUCAUCCUGACCUGUGAAGUCAGACGACAUACGGAGAUACCCAAGCGGUUAUCCGUACAAACGUUUUCUAUCAUCCUGACACGUGAAGUCAGGUGACAUACGGAGAUACCCAAGUGGUUAUCUGUACAAAUGGUUUCUGUCAUCCUGACCCGUGAAGUCAGGUGACUUACGGAGAUACGCAAGCGGUUAUCCAUACAAACGGUUUC